CGAACGGGUGAGUAACACGUGGGCAAUCUGCCCUUCACUCUGGGACAAGCCCUGGAAACGGGGUCUAAUACCGGAUACGACACACGACCGCAUGGUCUGUGUGUGGAAAGCUCCGGCGGUGAAGGAUGAGCCCGCGGCCUAUCAGCUUGUUGGUGGGGUGAUGGCCUACCAAGGCGACGACGGGUAGCCGGCCUGAGAGGGCGACCGGCCACACUGGGACUGAGACACGGCCCAGACUCCUACGGGAGGCAGCAGUGGGGAAUAUUGCACAAUGGGCGAAAGCCUGAUGCAGCGACGCCGCGUGAGGGAUGACGGCCUUCGGGUUGUAAACCUCUUUCAGCAGGGAAGAAGCGAAAGUGACGGUACCUGCAGAAGAAGCGCCGGCUAACUACGUGCCAGCAGCCGCGGUAAUACGUAGGGCGCAAGCGUUGUCCGGAAUUAUUGGGCGUAAAGAGCUCGUAGGCGGCUUGUCACGUCGGAUGUGAAAGCCCGGGGCUUAACCCCGGGUCUGCAUUCGAUACGGGCAGGCUAGAGUUCGGUAGGGGAGAUCGGAAUUCCUGGUGUAGCGGUGAAAUGCGCAGAUAUCAGGAGGAACACCGGUGGCGAAGGCGGAUCUCUGGGCCGAUACUGACGCUGAGGAGCGAAAGCGUGGGGAGCGAACAGGAUUAGAUACCCUGGUAGUCCACGCCGUAAACGUUGGGAACUAGGUGUGGGCGACAUUCCACGUCGUCCGUGCCGCAGCUAACGCAUUAAGUUCCCCGCCUGGGGAGUACGGCCGCAAGGCUAAAACUCAAAGG
RNAcentral lists this ribosomal RNA (797 nucleotides) under Actinomycetales bacterium TLI187. Its description in RNAcentral is "bacterial SSU rRNA". It matches the Rfam family "Bacterial small subunit ribosomal RNA", at positions 99 to 907 of the family's 1533-position model. Lineage: Bacteria; Bacillati; Actinomycetota; Actinomycetes; Actinomycetales. The record is from RNAcentral.